AGGACGAACGCUUGCGGCGUGCCUAAGAAAUGCAAGUCGAGCGGGGGAGCAAUCCCUAGCGGCGAACGGUCGCGUAACACGUAAGCAACCUGCCCGAAAGACCGGGACAACAGCCCGAAAGGGCUGCUAAUACCGGAUGUGUCCACUUUGCCUCAUGGCUUAGUGAGUAAAUCAUUUAUGGCUUUCGGAGGGGCUUGCGGCCUAUCAGCUAGAUGGCGGUGUAACGGACCCCCAUGGCGACGACGGGUAGCUGGU
This 255-nucleotide ribosomal RNA is filed under the name uncultured bacterium. RNAcentral describes it as "partial small subunit ribosomal RNA". It matches the Rfam family "Bacterial small subunit ribosomal RNA", at positions 26 to 291 of the family's 1533-position model. The record is from RNAcentral.